This is a long non-coding RNA of Apis dorsata (giant honeybee), 89 nucleotides long. RefSeq lists it as uncharacterized. The record is from RefSeq and is a predicted model, not a curated record. NCBI's taxonomy places the organism in Eukaryota, Metazoa, Arthropoda, Insecta, Hymenoptera, Apidae. The transcript is spliced from 3 exons.
UACAUUAUAGAUAAAUUUAUAUUUUAUCAAAAAUAAAUCAGAGACAUCACAAUGUCUAGAGGAUUUCUUCAAGAAGACUGAUAGCAUUU